This 553-nucleotide ribosomal RNA is filed under the name Papiliotrema flavescens. RNAcentral describes it as "LSU rRNA". It matches the Rfam family "Eukaryotic large subunit ribosomal RNA", at positions 121 to 663 of the family's 3401-position model. Lineage: Eukaryota; Fungi; Basidiomycota; Tremellomycetes; Tremellales; Rhynchogastremaceae. The record is from RNAcentral.
UCUGGCGUGCUCAGUGCGUCCGAGUUGUAAUCUAUAGAGUCGUUUUCCGUGCCGGACUGUGUCCAAGUCCCUUGGAACAGGGUAUCAAAGAGGGUGAUAAUCCCGUACUUGACACAAUGACCGGUGCUCUGUGAUACGUCUUCUACGAGUCGAGUUGUUUGGGAAUGCAGCUCAAAAUGGGUGGUGAGUUCCAUCUAAAGCUAAAUAUUGGCGAGAGACCGAUAGCGAACAAGUACCGUGAGGGAAAGAUGAAAAGCACUUUGGAAAGAGAGUUAAACAGUACGUGAAAUUGUUAAAAGGGAAACGAUUGAAGUCAGUCGUGACUGAGAGGCUCAGCCGGUUCUGCCGGUGUAUUCCCCUCAGUCGGGUCAACAUCAGUUUUGUUCGGUGGAUAAGGGCAGUUGGAAGGUGGCACCCUCGGGUGUGUUAUAGCCAGCUGUCGCAUACAUCGGAUGAGACUGAGGAAUGCAGCUCGCCUUUAUGGCCGGGGUUCGCCCACGUUCGAGCUUAGGAUGUUGACAUAAUGGCUUUAAACGACCCGUCUUGAAACACG